Long non-coding RNA from Amphibalanus amphitrite, 1059 nucleotides. RefSeq lists it as uncharacterized. The transcript has 4 exons. The record is from RefSeq and is a predicted model, not a curated record. Lineage: Eukaryota; Metazoa; Arthropoda; Thecostraca; Balanomorpha; Balanidae.
UGUUGUGUAUUGUCACGCAUUGUAUUGUCAUGGAUGGAGGUUCUUUCAUUCAUGGUAUUGUAAUACAUACACUUGGUUUAAAUUUAAUUUGAUUUGAUAAAUUUGAGCCAAUUCUUAGUGAUAUGGGAGUUGUCUUGCAAGUUCCCACAAGCCCAAAUAUAUAUUUUUUCAGUGAAAAGUAACACUAUGAAAAAGUUGAUGCUGGAUGGUUUAAGAAAAUGCCUUAUGGUCAAAGUCGUGUGUUCCUUACAUCAAGCACUCAAAGCAUCACCGUGAAGAGACUUCAGACAAGGGUCAAGGAGUGAGGUGUUUGUGUGGAAACCCCAUUACAUCAUCAAGAGGGAGACCGCACUGACAGGGGUCCAAGAUCCAUCUCAGGCCCUACUGUAGACUGCCCGCCAGCAGACGGAGACCCACCGACGGACGUCGGCUCAAUGGCCAACAGUGGCCCGCCGGCCGGCUGACGGACGACGGUGGCUCGCCGACCGCCGCCGGCCCGUCGGCCGACCACGGCCCACCAGUUGAUGGUGGCUCGCCAGCUGACGGAGGUCCGCCGGCCAUUCGUAGCACGCCCGCCGACGGCAGCUCGACGCACAUCCUGGCCUUAACUAUAGCUAUGUCACCCCCAAGAUUAGUUCACCCCCCCCCCCCCAAGUCCCUAGGUCACCAGUCGCGGGCGCUCCAUCUGACGGUGUCGUCCGACGGCUCCACGGUGACCAGCGCCGCGGAAACCAUCCGACCCCGAAAAUGCUGCUAGCCGUACACGAACAAAAGGCGCCAAGCACCCAGGACCAGCGCCCUGCUCCGAGGCGGUGUCCAAAGAAGGUCGCACAGUGCACUUGCUGUGCUAAGGUGUAGCGCGCGCUGACUGAUAGAAAAAACUGACGGUUGGUUAUCAGAUCUCAGUAUGGAACUCAAGAUGGUCGGAGCCGACCUGGCUCGGUGGAUGGUGUGCCAGGGUUAAUUAAGUGUCGAAAUGAGUGAGACGCUCAGAUAUCUGAAGGAUACGUCGAUACGAGUCCCGGCUUCGACUCCCCGUCCCAAAACGGUGUUGGCUGU